RNAcentral lists this unclassified non-coding RNA (264 nucleotides) under rhizosphere metagenome. Its description in RNAcentral is "partial ribosomal RNA internal transcribed spacer region". The record is from RNAcentral.
GUAGGUGAACCUGCGGAAGGAUCAUUAAUGAAAUUAUAAUCCGGCGAGGGGAAGGACGAGAGUUGUCGCUGGCCUUUCGCGAGGCAUGUGCACGCUUUCUUCUGGACUUUCGCCGUAUGGGCGCGGGGCGACCCGCGUCUUCAUGCACCUCUUCGUGUAGAAAGUCUUCGAAUGUUAUACUAUCAUCGAGUCGCGACUUCUAGGAGACGCGGUUCUUUGAGACAAAAGUUAUUACAACUUUCAGCAACGGAUCUCUUGGCUCUC